GGGAGGCGAGGUGGCACGCCGCGAGGAGCAGCACGGCCACCAGCGCCAGCACCUUGGCGCUCCUCACGCUGAAGUAGUGGUUGAUCUCCCGCUUGCCCAGGAGGUAAUAGAGAUAAAGAGGACGGGAAAAGGAGACACAAUGGAGCAGCCAUAAUAGUAGGAGGAGCAGUUUUGAGAAGCCCUAAUAUUGGAAGGAUUGGAGAGGAGUACUGAAGGAAGAUGCUGGGAAGAAAAAUCCUGAGAAGGACAAUGAGACUGAGGCAUCCUGAAAAUGCAUUCCCAGGACAUUGUCCCAGGCUGCAGAGGAAUUUGGUUCCUGAGUCUCCUCACACAUUCAGAAAAUAUUGCAUAUUCUAUGUUAUAGAAACAAUAAGUGCAAAAAUAUAUUUAAAAAGAGCUCAUACAAGAGAUGUUCAAGACAGAGAAAAAUUGCACAGAAAAAAAAUCUUGUAUUUCCUUAUCAAAACCGGGGAAAGUAAACAUGUAUAGUAAAUUGGAAAAAGCCUGUAAGUCUGGAAUAUUUUUUUAAGUGUUAUCUUUUGUGCAUUAGCUUGGUGUUCUUGGUAGUGAGAGGAGGCAAUUAUUAUCGACUCUCCCUUCUUUAAUUUUGUUUUUCUUCCUAAAACUGACGAUGGACAACUGACACAAGUUGGAUGAGACAACAACUGAAGUGUAUUUUCCCCCCAGUUAGUUGUGAAGAAUGUGUUCUGUUUGUGGCAAAUUCCUGCACAUAAGGCUGACUAGGAUGCCAACAAUUAAUUCGCUACUAUUGUUAACAUUAGUGUACAGAAGUAAUAGAAAUGUGAAGACAGACCCAGUCUGUGAGAAGUGUGUUUCAGGGUCAAGCCAGCAGCUGACUUUCUAGACACCUUACAGAACCCUGUGAGAAGGCUUUCUUUUGGUGAAUUUGUCACAGCAAAUGAUCCAGGCCUGAGCUUGUCUAGGCUUGAAGUUUUGAAGUUUUAUUCAACUCAACGAGGAUGGAUGCAUUUCUCAGUGACACUUUGAUGUAAACCAAGCUCACAGGUUGAUAUCUAAAAUUGAGUGCCAAUUUAUUAAUUUUUAAUGGGAAAUAUAGUUGUCACACUAACCAGAGAACUCUAGUCUAUGACUAGUCCAUUCUAUUUCUGGAGAUAAUUGAACACGAAGUACCAAAUUAUAACCUGAAACUUAUUUGAUGCAUAUGAAAUCAGAACAAAGGGAAUUGGUUAAAUAAACAUUCUUUAACUGUUAAUACA
Molecule: long non-coding RNA, 1238 nt
Filed under: Vulpes vulpes (red fox)
Lineage: Eukaryota; Metazoa; Chordata; Mammalia; Carnivora; Canidae
Description: lncRNA (ENSVVUG00000015559.1)
Source: RNAcentral